Molecule: ribosomal RNA, 468 nt
Filed under: uncultured bacterium
Lineage: Bacteria
Description: partial 16S ribosomal RNA
Rfam family: Bacterial small subunit ribosomal RNA
Source: RNAcentral
GACGAACGCUGGCGGCGUGCUUAACACAUGCAGGUCGAACGGAAAGGCCCUGCUUUUGUGGGGUGCUCGAGUGGCGAACGGGUGAGUAACACGUGAGUAACCUGCCCUUGACUUUGGGAUAACUUCAGGAAACUGGGGCUAAUACCGGAUAGGAGCUCCUGCUGCAUGGUGGGGGUUGGAAAGUUUCGGCGAUUGGGGAUGGACUCGCGGCUUAUCAGCUUGUUGGUGGGGUAGUGGCUUACCAAGGCUUUGACGGGUAGCCGGCCUGAGAGGGUGACCGGCCACAUUGGGACUGAGAUACGGCCCAGACUCCUACGGGAGGCAGCAGUGGGGAAUAUUGCACAAUGGGCGGAAGCCUGAUGCAGCAACGCCGCGUGCGGGAUGACGGCCUUCGGGUUGUAAACCGCUUUCGCCUGUGACGAAGCGUGAGUGACGGUAAUGGGUAAAGAAGCACCGGCUAACUACGUG